UACGUAGGGUGCGAGCGUUGUCCGGAAUCACUGGGCGUAAAGCGCACGUAGGCGGAUUGCUAAGUCAGGGGUGAAAUCCUGGAGCUCAACUCCAGAACUGCCUUUGAUACUGGCGAUCUCGAGUCCGGGAGAGGUGAGUGGAACUGCGAGUGUAGAGGUGAAAUUCGUAGAUAUUCGCAAGAACACCAGUGGCGAAGGCGGCUCACUGGCCCGGUACUGACGCUGAGGUGCGAAAGCGUGGGGAGCAAACAGG
This 253-nucleotide ribosomal RNA is filed under the name uncultured bacterium. RNAcentral's name for it is "partial 16S ribosomal RNA". It matches the Rfam family "Bacterial small subunit ribosomal RNA", at positions 524 to 776 of the family's 1533-position model. The record is from RNAcentral.